CCCUUUUUUUAAAGGUUCAGCUUCUAUUAUCUUUGAUAGUAGUUGUUUGGACAUUUCACUGUGAGAAAAUUGUGGUGUUUAAAGCAGGCGUUUCGCCUGAUCUUUUGCAGCAUGGUAUGAUGAAACAUGACAUUUUACGCUAUUGGUUUGCGUCUAAAGUGUAAUGAUUAAUAGGGAUGGAUGGGGGUGUUCAUAUUGGUGGGCGAGAGGUGAAAUUCGUUGACCCUAUCAAGAUGAACUUCUGCGAAAGCAUUCACCAAAUACUUCCCCAUUAAUCAAGAACGAAAGUUUGGGGAUCGAAGACGAUCAGAUACCGUCGUAGUCCAAACUAUAAACUAUGUCGACCAGGGAUCGGUUAAAAUUUUUUUAAAAUUUAAUCGGCACCUUGUGAGAAAUCACGAGUGUUUAGAUUCCGGGGGGAGUAUGGUCGCAAGUCUGAAACUUAAAGGAAUUGACGGAAGGGCACACAAUGGAGUGGAGCCUGCGGCUUAAUUUGACUCAACUCGGGAAAACUUACCAAGCUAAGAUAUAGUAAGGAUUGACAGACUAAAAGAUCUUUCAUGAUUCUAUAAGUGGUGGUGCAUGGUCGUUCUUAGUUGGUGGAGCGAUUUGUCUGGUCAAUUCCGAUAACGGACGAGACCUCGACCUGCUAACUAGUAGUAUUUAUUAGUCAAUAUGGGCGAUAGCUUCUCUGGGGUUUGGAAUGGUUUCGGCCAUCUCCUGCUUCAAGGAGUGUGUAGUCUGACUUGAUAGGUACGAAUUAAAAAACUUCUUAGAGGGACUACCUGCCUCAAGCAGGCGGAAGUCCGAGGCAAUAACAGGUCUGUGAUGCCCUUAGAUACCUUGGGCCGCACGCGCGCUACAAUGUAGAAAACAAAAAGGUUCCUGGUCCGGAAGGAUUGGGUAAUCAUUUGAAUUUUCUACGUAACUGGGAUUGAUCUUUGUAAUUAUUGAUCAUCAACGAGGAAUUCCUUGUAAGCGUAGGUCAUUACCCUAUGCUGAAUAUGUCCCUGCCCUUUGUACACACCGCCCGUCGCUCCUACCGAUCGAAUGAUACGGUAAAGUUAACGGAUCGUUUUAUCUUUGGCAACAUUGAUAUAAACUAAAAGUUAUUUAAAUCUCAUUGUUUAGAGGAAGGAGAAGUCGUAACAAGGUAACC
This 1159-nucleotide ribosomal RNA is filed under the name Dictyostelium mucoroides. RNAcentral describes it as "SSU rRNA". It matches the Rfam family "Eukaryotic small subunit ribosomal RNA", at positions 697 to 1804 of the family's 1831-position model. The record is from RNAcentral. Lineage: Eukaryota; Evosea; Eumycetozoa; Dictyosteliales; Dictyosteliaceae.